GAUGAACGCUGGCGGCGUGCCUAAUACAUGCAAGUCGAGCGAACAGACGAGGAGCUUGCUCCUCUGACGUUAGCGGCGGACGGGUGAGUAACACGUGGAUAACCUACCUAUAAGACUGGGAUAACUUCGGGAAACCGGAGCUAAUACCGGAUAAUAUAUUGAACCGCAUGGUUCAAUAGUGAAAGACGGUUUUGCUGUCACUUAUAGAUGGAUCCGCGCCGCAUUAGCUAGUUGGUAAGGUAACGGCUUACCAAGGCAACGAUGCGUAGCCGACCUGAGAGGGUGAUCGGCCACACUGGAACUGAGACACGGUCCAGACUCCUACGGGAGGCAGCAGUAGGGAAUCUUCCGCAAUGGGCGAAAGCUUGACGGAGCAACGCCGCGUGAGUGAUGAAGGUCUUCGGAUCGUAAAACUCUGUUAUUAGGGAAGAACAAAUGUGUAAGUAACUAUGCACGUCUUGACGGUGCCUAAUCAGAAAGCCACGGCUAACUACGUG
Molecule: ribosomal RNA, 497 nt
Filed under: uncultured bacterium
Lineage: Bacteria
Description: partial 16S ribosomal RNA
Rfam family: Bacterial small subunit ribosomal RNA
Source: RNAcentral